AAGAGAGGCAGCGUCCAUGUGGAGACGGGCCCAGCCUCCUCCUCCUCCAAGAGACGCUGCUCUUCCCACCCCAGCACCUGGCCGCACCAGCAGGUCUCAGACGGUUCUGGAGUCCGAGGGGGCGGGGAGGAGGAGGGGGAGGAGGAGGUCUGUGUUCUCCUGGUGGAGGAGCUGAGCCGGCAGGAGGAGGCGCUGUUCGGCCGCCGUCAGCAGGAGGAGCAGGACCGUCUGGUGGCUGAGCUCCUCCAGAAGGAGCUGAACAAGGAGGAGCAGCGGGCCUUCACCGACCGCAGCAAAGGCUCCGCUGACCCUUACCAGCUGCGCCGCAAAGCCAGAACCCCCAGCAGAACCUCCUCCUCCUCCUCCUCCUCCAAACGAAAUGAGGUGGGAGCAGAGCGAAGGGCUACUCCUAACAGACAGACGGCCAGCAGCUCAAGCUCCGGCCCCGCCCCUCACCUGCCAGGGGCCAAUAAGCAGGCCUCACUAAAGGAUAUGUUCCGACGCCUCUCCAACUGAGAUCGGGACCAUCGGACCUUAGUUUCUCCCCCCACGCUUCCUCCCUGCUAACAUUCAUUGCCAAGUACGUUAGCAUCAUUACACUGCUCGUAGCGUACAGUAUACUGUAUGUUGGCAUCCUAACACUGCUUCUAGCGCACAGUAUGCUGUAUGUUAGCAUCCUAACACUGCUUCUAGCGCACAGUAUGCUGUAUGUUAGCAUCAUUACACUGCUUGUAGCGCACAGUAUGCUGUAUGUUAGCAUCCUAACACUGCUUCUAGCGCACAGUAUGCUGUAUGUUAGCAUCCUAACACUGCUUGUAGCGCACAGUAUGCUGUAUGUUAGCAUCCUAACACUGCUUGUAGCGCACAGUAUGCUGUAUGUUAGCAUCCUAACGCUUCUUGUUGCUGACAGUUUGUUAGCAUAGCAUCAUAAUGCUGCUUGUUGCGUCAGGUUUACAGUACGUUAGCAUCAUAAUGCUGCUUGUUGCGUCAGGUUUAACGUUUACAGUUCACAGCAUGUGAUUGCGAGACUGAUAUGAGGGAGUUGACCUGACUGCGAUAAGGUUUGCAUCAGCAGUUCCUCUAAAUGUUGCAGUUAUUCUGGAAAUAAACUGCCCACUGGUAGCUGUUAUGUCUUGGUCUGGUUUGUUACAGGAACUCACUGGACACCGGCUCAGAUCAGGCCUGGAACUAUUGUCCGUUAACUACCGCUCUCUCCUUAUUCCCCCCUCAAACAAUGUAGGACAAUCCGUCCCAGUCAGUUGGAGGAAAUAACCAAUCAGCACGAGAGUCUGAGUCAUCUGAGAAGCUGAAGAACAGCAAAGCAGCAUAUAUAUUGGGGGUGUGACGACAUGGCCGUUUUUGGUCCAUACCCAAACUUUAUAAAAAAUGAGUAAAUGACAUUUGACAUUGUUAUGAAGAUGCUGCUUUAUAUGAAGAAAAUGUAUGUAAUAAUGUGUAAUUAAAAUAUGAAUCAAUCGUGUUUACACAAUUUCUUGGUUUAAUCUUGAAUAAAU
Molecule: long non-coding RNA, 1514 nt
Organism: Gadus morhua (Atlantic cod)
Lineage: Eukaryota; Metazoa; Chordata; Actinopteri; Gadiformes; Gadidae
Source: Ensembl